GUCGGGUGAGGUCGGAGUCUCGAAUUCCCUACCUGCUGAUGAAGAAGCAGUGCCUAGGCUAGUUGCAGUGCCAUCUUAAUCUUCUAGUUUGCCGUGGACUCUGCUCUUAGAGUCGAUUCCUACUCUCGAACAGAAAGCGGGUAAGCCCAACAAAGCUUUGAAGCUGAGACUAUUAGUAGUGAGAGAAAUGUCAUCUAAAGAAAGGCAGGCGCAGGGCUCCAGUAGUGGGAGCAGCCCUUAUGUGGUGCAAGCAGUAGGAGAAGCAUAGAUACUUAGGGAAGUGGAGCCAUUGUGAAGACUAGCGUAGAGGUCCCUAACUUUUAUGGAAGCUGAGACCCCUCCGUGGUCUUAGACAGGUUAGUCGCGAUGGACCAGUAUUUCGGGGCCGGUCUGCGAAGAACAAUCAAGGUAGGAUUAGCACCCUUCCUCAAUUAGGGCAUUAUAGUUCGACAUGCUACCUUCUUGAUGUAUCGAUUCUUGGUAGACAAAGGUGGUUUAGAUCGAGACGCCCCCUUUCGGGUCCGGGGAUGGAGUUUCAUCUUUCUGUUGGAGAAAGAAUAAGAAAAGGAAAGACGAAGGAAACCUAAGCCAUAGCCUACGAUUCAAGUCUACCACCAGUCAUCUAAGUACAGUCGAAAGAAGCG
Molecule: long non-coding RNA, 644 nt
Filed under: Elaeis guineensis (African oil palm)
Lineage: Eukaryota; Viridiplantae; Streptophyta; Magnoliopsida; Arecales; Arecaceae
Description: long non-coding RNA (EGUI_LNC054938)
Source: RNAcentral